RNAcentral lists this ribosomal RNA (468 nucleotides) under uncultured bacterium. RNAcentral's name for it is "partial 16S ribosomal RNA". It matches the Rfam family "Bacterial small subunit ribosomal RNA", at positions 28 to 507 of the family's 1533-position model. The record is from RNAcentral.
GACGAACGCUGGCGGCGUGCUUAACACAUGCAAGUCGAACGGAAAGGCCCUGCUUUUGUGGGGUGCUCGAGUGGCGAACGGGUGAGUAACACGUGAGUAACCUGCCCUUGACUUUGGGAUAACUUCAGGAAACUGGGGCUAAUACCGGAUAGGAGCUCCUGCUGCAUGGUGGGGGUUGGAAAGUUUCGGCGGUUGGGGAUGGACUCGCGGCUUAUCAGCUUGUUGGUGGGGUAGUGGCUUACCAAGGCUUUGACGGGUAGCCGGCCCGAGAGGGUGACCGGCCACAUUGGGACUGAGAGACGGCCCAGACUCCUACGGGAGGCAGCAGUGGGGAAUAUUGCACAAUGGGCGGAAGCCUGAUGCAGCAACGCCGCGUGCGGGAUGACGGCCUUCGGGUUGUAAACCGCUUUCGCCUGUGACGAAGCGUGAGUGACGGUAAUGGGUAAAGAAGCACCGGCUAACUACGUG